Molecule: long non-coding RNA, 6432 nt
Filed under: Aquilegia coerulea
Lineage: Eukaryota; Viridiplantae; Streptophyta; Magnoliopsida; Ranunculales; Ranunculaceae
Description: long non-coding RNA (ACOE_LNC001367)
Source: RNAcentral
CAAUUGAUAUUGUCCUGGCUCUUUGUCUAUAAACUGAACUUAGGGGUACCUGGUGCAAUGGCUGCUUUAGUUAUCUCAUCUUGGUCUGUAGGAAUUGGGCUAUUGGUGUAUGUUAUUGGAGGCUGGUGUCCAGAUACAUGGACAGGAUUUUCUAGGAGUGCCUUCUCUGACCUUUAUCCAGUAGUGAAGCUCUCUGCCUCCUCUGGUGUGAUGCUAUGGUAAGUUUAGUCCCCUUCUUCCUAAUUUUUUUUUCUUGCUAGGAAUUUUCUCCUUUGGUGCUGGAAAAGUUAUUACGUACGAAAAGGUAUCAUGAGGUCUUUACGAUAUUGGAAUCUUCAUUGGUCUUUACGAUAUGGUAUAGUCCCCUUCUUCGUAUUUCAUAUCUUUCAAACUAGGAUUUUUCUCCUUUGGUGCUGGCCAAGUUUCACAUACUACAAGUUUUCCAAUACGCUCCGCAUAGCCAUAGUUUUAAUGCUAAGGUAAAUAAGCAUGAUUUAACAUAGUUACAUAAGGUCUCGUUAACUAGUUUAAGUUGCUCUCUUAGAAAAAAUCAAAAAGUUGUGAAAGGAAUACAUAGGUAAAAAGUUUUAAUCAGACAGUCAUAAAGUCCCAGUUAACUACUUGACUCUAUUCGAUAAGACCUAAUCUAAUAUGUAUACUAUGUAUUCCUUUCACAACUUUUAAAGUUUUAAUCAGACAGUCAUAAAGUCCCCAUUAACUACUUGACUCUAUUCGAUAAGACCUAAUCUAAUCAGUAAACAUUUGUAGAGUGCUUAACCAGGUCUCAUAUGAUUUACAUUCUAUAUUUACAUGAACAAUACAAAAUAUGCCUUUCAUUGUCAAGUUGACCCAUUCAGUUGAAUGGCAGGUCUAUACAAAACAUAACUUUUGAAGCCCUUGGUAAAUUAUUGAGUCACCCAAAACUUUGAUCAGCUUAGUUAAUGGGAAGUCUAGUUAUCUUUACUCUUUAGAAGAUUUUCAAAGUCAAGCUCCAGUCUGUUCAGAUGUUUUCUCAUUUAUCCUCAAUGUGGUUUCCUUUUACUUCUUUUUGACAAAUUGAGAAAAUUGUCGGGCACCACAGUUACUCGUUACUUGUCUCACCUUGUGGAAUUCAAGUAUCAUACUCGUUUUCCCGAAUUUUCAAGACAUCAAACAGUGUUACGUACACUGAAUUAACAAUCAGUGUCCAGAUAUAGUGGACAAGCAAAUUUUUUGCGAAUGUAUUCUGUAUUUGUUUAAACAUAUAAGCAAUGCACUUUAAAGCAUUCUCAUUUCUUGAUUCUGCGAUUUUUUAUCAUCUGUAGCUUAGAGCUGUGGUACAAUGCAGUUUUGAUCUUAUUAGCAGGUCAUAUGAAAAAUGCCACGACCUCCAUUGCUGCUUUCUCAAUCUGGUACCAUUUUACAAUUUUGUUACAUCUCUCUCUUCCUGUGAAUGCCCCUUUUUAUCUGUUUUGUCUGAAAACCUAUGCUAACUGGAAUCUGUUUAUCUUACAGCCUCAAUAUAGUGGCUUGGCAAUUGAUGUUAUUCUUUGGUUUUCUAACUGCGGCAUGGUAUGGCUUCACUCACUGAACUAGUCUCUCAGUAUGAAGACCUAAUCAUCCUUGUGUUAACAUUCCGGCCAGAAUAUUGACUUCUCUUACUUCGAGUUUCCUUUUAGUGUAAGGGUCUCUAACGAGCUAGGGAGAGGGGAUGCCGAAGCUGCAAAAUUCUCUGUUAAAGUCAUCAUGGUAACUUCAUUAUCGCUUGGAGUGAUCUUCACUAUUCUAUCUUUGGCUUUUGGGCAUGUCAUAUCAUAUGCCUUCACUGAUAGCGCGGAGGUGGCCAAAGCUGUGUCAAGUCUCUCAUUCCUACUGGCUAUAUCUGUUUUCCUCAAUAGUAUACAGCCAGUACUUACAGGUUAGCUCUGCCUUUUCUUUUCAUUUUUUUUUUUUUGAUAUUUGGGAGUAUUAUACCAUUAUUUCACAAUGUGUUUCCCUGGUCUAGGAAACCGACAUUGUUAUUUUAUGGACCACAUUGUUUAUCAUUCUAUACUUCAUCUCUACUGGUUAGCAUAAAGACCAGAAAUCUUCAAUACUGCACUAUAAUAUAGUUAAUGCAGAACCUAGAGUUCUCUAAUAUUUUUCGUUUUCCCCAAUUUGUUUUAUCAGGAGUGGCGGUUGGUGCUGGUUGGCAAGUUGCAGUAGCUUAUGUUAACAUCGCUAGUUACUAUGCCUUGGGAAUUCCUGUCGGAGUGUUGCUUGCAUAUUUGUUUCAUCUUGAAAUUAGGGUAAGAAACCACAUUUUUUGCUGUCACAAACUGAUGUUACUUUGGAUCUUAAUUGAUGUAAGUGAAUUACACAGUGUAGAGGAAUACCUGGAUAUAUAAAUAUAUGUGGAGUUUUUUAAAGUCUUGGUAGAGGUGACCACUAAAAAAUCGUGAAACGACAGAGGUGGUCUGUCUUAGCUGUAGACAACAUUCUGUGAUUUAAAGAUGCUAAAAAUGAUCUGACAUACUUCACCUUCAUUUUACGCUGCAAUCUCUUGGUUAUAUAGUUUGUACAUUAUACACACACAUUGAAAUCAUACUUCAUUGCAAAAUAAAGCUCCACUGCAGCAACGAACAUUUGUGAAAUAACUCAAUAUUUUACGAGACUCGUCAUCACCUGUCAAUGUCUUAUCACAAUCGCCUAGAUGACUAGAUCAGUGACAGCAGUCUGUUGUUGUUAUUCUAUUCUAUCAUUUCACAACUUUUUGAUGUUAUGCACUUUCUCAAUGUAUUUUACUUUUAUGAAAUGCUCUUGACGUACACUACUUUUCUUUCAUAAAAACACCUCUCAUCUUACCUUUCUUUUUGGCUUGUCUUCCAGGGUAUUUGGAUUGGAAUGGUAAUUGGUGUUGGAAUUCAAACACUUGCUAUUGCUUUCAUGACCUGCAGAACAGAUUGGGAUGCACAGGUAAAUCAGAAAAAAAAUAAGCUUACGUAGGAAAAUACGGUCUGAAUGGACACCAGUAUAGGACACUUGUACAAUAUGCGCAGUAUAACAAUGAUACAAAAAUGAAUAUUUACCUUAUUGCAAGGUAAAAGCCAUUUUUGGUUGAUAACUACUUAUGUUCUGCUUAAUUUUUACAGGUUGACAAGGCAAGUGCACGCCUCAACAGAUGGUUUGUGCCGAAUUUGCAAGCCGAAUCCAAUGACAUCACACCUCUUGCAUGAAGGAAAGAAGAACCUAGCUUGAACUUUUUGUAUGUAGCAUUUAGACUUGGGCGAUCAAAUGAAUCAUGUCAAACAGAAAUUUUAUGCAAUUUUUCUGAAAAGAUCGAAACAAUGUUGUAUCUGGAAAGGCUUUAAAUUCCGAUACAUUAGUAGUGAUGAAAUUAUGGAGUACUAGCUUUUCUAAGAUAUGAUGAAACAAUGUUGUCGAUGAAUACAAUAUGCCUUUUGGUUUACUUCUUGUAUCUCACCAUCUCUUGAAAUUUGUUUAAUUAUAUUAUUUUUUCUCAAAGUUUUUUAGAAGAUAGAGUUGAAAUAUACAUACUGUAUUAACCAUAAUUGUGAGGUUGGUCAAUACAUUAAUGAAUGAUGAUGAUCUGUAUGAUAUGAACAAUAAUAAUAAAAUAGAGACAUGAACACCAUUGUAUACGUGGUUCGGCAAUUGUGCCUACAUCCACGGAGAGAGAGAAUGAUCUUUAUUAUAGUAGUGGUGAUACAAAAUGGGAGCUCGAUAAUGGAGAGAGCUCAAGAGAGAGAUGAGACCUGAGAGGUGAGGUCUCAUCAUGAGAGAUUGGGGAGGUCGUUGAUCAUGAGACCUCACCAUGAGGUUGUGUUGGGAGCAUUAGGCUAUCAGACCAUGUCAGCAGAGAUGAGAACCUCCCAAGAAUGAGUAGCUUGCCUUCAUAUUUAUAGGCUUACAAUGUAACUCCAUUCCUAGCAUUUAAUGAGGUAAUGAUGAGAGAAUAUCUUUGUAGUAAUUGGCUUUAACUUUGUAACUUGUGCCAUCAAGAGAGAGUCCAUUAGAUGAUGACAUGUGGCACCAUGAUGUACGGUAGAGAUGGUGCCACAUGUAUGUUGUAUGUAGUACCCCUACACAUACAUACAAAAAUUGAAAAAAGAAAAUGCAUACAUGUUAAAUUUUAGAGUCUGGUAAACAGACUUCCCGGAAAAAUCUCAAUUUCCUAUGUUUGAUUAUAUGGAAAAUAAAGCAGUAAAUUAUUAAGGUUAUUAAAACGAAAUGAUAAAUUAAAAUGUGAGAGAUAUUGGAGCUCAAUGUCGAUGAAUCCUUACUAAAAACAUAUUUACACGAUUUCCUAACCAUUUUCAUGAUCAAUAUGAUAAUAUAUGUAGCACUAUAGUCAUUUUCUGAAAAAUUAAUUUCUCGAUAUUUGCACAAUCGUAAAUCUAUUUUCUGGUAAAUUGUUUCCUGGCCGAAUCAAACAGACCCUAAGUUCUGCAAAAUCAAAAUCAUUAUUGACCGUUGGAUUGCAAAAGAAAGAAGUCGGGCUUAGUGGACUCGAGAAACAAAGAUUAGUUGUUUCCAUGUCUUCUCUGCUCUGAUGCAAUCCUGCAAAACUAUUGUUACUUUCUUUCUUCCUUAUUUCAAAGUUUGUUGUUUUUCUUCAAAAUCAAAACAUGAAGAAGAUCAAGUCAAGUGAGUAUUAUGUACACUAGUUUUUUUUCCCCUUUUUACAGAUUUUUUUGCAAGAAAAACUUUUGAAAUGAUAAUGUUGUUGUCUUACUGUGUAUUAAUGUUGAAUUCAUUGUUGUUGUAAAUAGAGAAAUUGUUCCUAAUUGAGAGAUUAGUUGGAUUGGAUUUUUUUAAUCUUAACUUUUAAUCGAAUUUGUUUCUACAGUCAACUCCCAAUCCCUUUUGCAAUUUUCUUACAUUUUACGAAGUAAAAUGCCUUUGAUUAUUUGAUAGAAAUAAUCACAAAGCAUAUUUUGGCACUUUUGGUGGGUUAAGAAGAAGUAUGAUUAAGGUGAUUCAUGAAAAAGUCGAGUCGAUCUGGAGAAGCAAAACGAAAUCCUGAUUUGGCCAAAAAAGAAGCAACACUAUGUAUACCAUGACCGAUCACCGUUGAGAAAGAAGAAUCUUUCUAAAUUAGUUUGCAUCAGAAACUCAACAAGGCUUUCAAGCAUGAAACAUCCAAAAUACGCCGGGGUUGUAAAUGACAUUGUGUUUCUGAUAGAAAUCAAGUUUUCCAUUAAUAAAGUUAACCAAACAUAUUGAACGUAUGGUUGGUUGACUGGGUCAAAUUCACUGUAAAAAGGGGAAUCAUCUUAAUUGAGUGACCUGCCAUGGAAAUUGAAAAACAUAAAACUAAACCCUAGCAAAGGACCUAAGACAACGACAGAAAAUUGUCGCCUGCAUAUGUAUUUGACCCUUACCCUUGUUCAAUCACCAACAUCUUUUUUGACAAAGAUACAAAUAUUGUCAGGAUAUUACUACAAAUUCAGAUGAUAGAAGCAUGCAUCUAUUUCGUCAUUAUUCUUCUUUCAUGUUGAAAGAAACACAAGUUUAAAUUUGUAACUCGAAACUGCAAUGCAGAUAUACUACUUACCAAUGAGUUUUCUUGUUGUUGUUUGAUAAGCACAAGGGGAGGAAUGAAUGAUGCAAUGGAAGAUAAGCUUCUUGGCCCAAGUGAGGAAGAUGAAGAAGAUUUGAAACUAAGAGUCUGGGUAGAGUUUAAGAAAUUCUGGACACUUGCAUGUCCUGCUAUAAUCACAAGAUUAACCUCAUUUGGAAUCCUAGCUUGUGGCAACACAGUCAUUUAUGGGACAUAUUGUUCCGACAGAGUUAUCUUCAUAUGCUCUCCUACAGACCUUUCUCCUUCGUUUUGCAAAUCGAAUAUUGGUAUGGUAUGCUCUUGGUCCUUACCUUGCAUGUCUACAUGUUCUUCCAUUGUUAAUAAUGAAAUGCAUGAUUUUUCUAAGAUUUAAUAUACUUUGCUUUUCUUUUGGUUUGCCAAAAUGAUAUGUACAGUUGGGACUGCUGAGCGCUCUUGAAACUCUAUGUGGUCAGGCCUAUGGUGAAAAGAAUACCACAUGAUGGAAAUCUACAUGCAGCGAUCAGCCGAUCAUGGGGUGUUGUUCUUACUAAUGCAACCGUUAUGCAUCCUCCCAUUUUGUGACUUCUUGGGCAUGAAGAGGAAUCAUUGGUAUUAUCAGGAAAAAUUGUGCUGUGGUGCAUUCCCAUUCUCUAUUAAAUAGCAAGGCUUUUGUACUUCAAUUGAUUUUUCCCUGGCAUGUCUACAAACUGAAGUUGGGGCUACCUGGUGCAAUGGCUGCUUUAGUAACCUCAUCUUCAUCAAUAAGAUUUGGGCUAUUGGUCUAUGUUGUUGGAAGCUGGUGUUGAGAUACACGUACAGAAUUUUCUAGGAGUGCCUUCUCGGACCUUUAGCCAUUAGUGUUGCUCUCUGCAUCCUCUGGUGUGAUGCUAUGGUACGUUUAAUCCCCC